GUGGGGAAUUUUGGACAAUGGGCGCAAGCCUGAUCCAGCAAUGCCGCGUGCAGGAAGAAGGCCUUCGGGUUGUAAACUGCUUUUGUACGGAACGAAACGGUCCUGGUUAAUACCUGGGGCUAAUGACGGUACCGUAAGAAUAAGCACCGGCUAACUACGUGCCAGCAGCCGCGGUAAUACGUAGGGUGCGAGCGUUAAUCGGAAUUACUGGGCGUAAAGCGUGCGCAGGCGGUGCUGUAAGACAGGCGUGAAAUCCCCGGGCUCAACCUGGGAAUUGCGCUUGUGACUGCAGUGCUGGAGUACGGCAGAGGGGGAUGGAAGUCCGCGUGUAGCAGUGAAAUGCGUAGAUAUGCGGAGGAACACCGAUGGCGAAGGCAGUCCCCUGGGCCUGUACUGACGCUCAUGCACGAAAGCGUGGGGAGCAAACAGGAUUAGAUACCCCAGUAGUCC
Molecule: ribosomal RNA, 450 nt
Filed under: uncultured bacterium
Lineage: Bacteria
Description: partial 16S ribosomal RNA
Rfam family: Bacterial small subunit ribosomal RNA
Source: RNAcentral